Molecule: ribosomal RNA, 414 nt
Filed under: Acanthamoeba sp. RAC101
Lineage: Eukaryota; Discosea; Longamoebia; Acanthamoebidae
Description: SSU rRNA
Rfam family: Eukaryotic small subunit ribosomal RNA
Source: RNAcentral
AAAAUUAGAGUGUUCAAAGCAGGCAGAUCCAAUUUUCUGCCACCGAAUACAUUAGCAUGGGAUAAUGGAAUAGGACCCUGUCCUCCUAUUUUCAGUUGGUUUUGGCAGCGCGAGGACUAGGGUAAUGAUUAAUAGGGAUAGUUGGGGGCAUUAAUAUUUAAUUGUCAGAGGUGAAAUUCUUGGAUUUAUGAAAGAUUAACUUCUGCGAAAGCAUCUGCCAAGGAUGUUUUCAUUAAUCAAGAACGAAAGUUAGGGGAUCGAAGACGAUCAGAUACCGUCGUAGUCUUAACCAUAAACGAUGCCGACCAGCGAUUAGGAGACGUUGAAUACAAAACACCACCAUCGGUGCGGUCGUCCUUGGCGUCGGUCUUCGGGGCCGGCGCGGGGACCGCUUAGCCCGGUGGCACCGGUGAA